Molecule: long non-coding RNA, 430 nt
Organism: Scylla paramamosain (green mud crab)
Lineage: Eukaryota; Metazoa; Arthropoda; Malacostraca; Decapoda; Portunidae
Exons: 2
Source: RefSeq, a predicted model, not a curated record
GAGUUGCCUAGAGACACAUGCACACUCAACACGAUAAAAUGAAUCUCAUUACCCUCCUGAUCGUGAUGGCAAUGGCUGUAGCGGCAGUUCUGGCCAGUCCCGUCCCCGGACAUCCAUUCUAUAACAACUAUAAUUAUGGUUACGGUUAUCCCCAAUACGCCGUUACUUCUACUUACAUCCCUCAAACGAUCCACUUGACCCGUCAACACUUUUCUCUUCCUUACGGAUAUUACAAACACUUGUGGUAAUGAUGCACUCCUGAGUGAGGGACAACAUCGCAAUGAGCCCCAGCAACCUAAGGACUUUUUUCUUUUAACGUUUCAGAAUCAGGUUCUUACUGCACCUUCCUACUUUUCAUUACCUGUAAUGUAUUUAUCUUAUACUCCAAUAUUUUUCAAUUGAAAUUAAAUUCAUAGAAAUAAUUACGCUA